GCUUCAUAUGUCAGCUCGGAACCGGAUUUCCCUAAAGCUGACUUUUCUGCCAAUAAUUCCAUUAUUGUGGCUGCAACACUCGAAGAACAAGAACCUGAAUUAGAAGAGAAGAGUGCCGUGGAGGAGGAAGAUUCAGAAAGUCAAGACUUGGAGAAAUCAUGAACCAACUUACAUGGGAAAAUCUGUGAAACAUGACGGUUCACGUGACCGGUGACGUACGGACUAACAACACAUCUGUGAUCACAGUAAACUUAGGGUCUUUAGUCUGUUCUAGUCGGUAGUCACUAGUAAACUAUCUAAAUGCGACCUCAACUAAACCCUCUCCGUCAUGAUUAAAAGCACUGAAUUUAAUUAUAAAUUUAUGUGAAUAUAAUUAUGAAAUUUAUAAUCAUGCACCUAAUGUUGUGAUAGUCUCAUUUACAGUGUACUGUAUAGUGAUACCGUGACUCAUAUUUGAUGUUUCUGUUGCUAUGUCAGAUUAAGUUUUGUGAUGUUUUUUUCCAGGUCUGAACUUUGGUUCCGUCAAACUAAUUUAUUACCAACCUUUUCAUCAAAAUUUGUGUUUAAAAGUCUUGCUACGAA
Bolinopsis microptera is the source of this 582-nucleotide long non-coding RNA. RefSeq lists it as uncharacterized. The transcript is spliced from 2 exons. NCBI's taxonomy places the organism in Eukaryota, Metazoa, Ctenophora, Tentaculata, Lobata, Bolinopsidae. The record is from RefSeq and is a predicted model, not a curated record.